UACGUAGGGGGCAAGCGUUGUCCGGAUUUAUUGGGCGUAAAGAGCGUGUAGGCGGCCAGGUAGGUCCGCUGUGAAAACUCGAGGCUCAACCUCGAGAUGUCGGCGGAAACCAUCUGGCUAGAGUCCGGAAGAGGAGAGUGGAAUUCCUGGUGUAGCGGUGAAAUGCGCAGAUAUCAGGAAGAACACCAACGGCGAAGGCAGCUCGCUAGGACGGUACUGACGCUGAGACGCGAAAGCGUGGGGAGCGAACAGG
Molecule: ribosomal RNA, 253 nt
Filed under: uncultured bacterium
Lineage: Bacteria
Description: partial 16S ribosomal RNA
Rfam family: Bacterial small subunit ribosomal RNA
Source: RNAcentral